This 440-nucleotide ribosomal RNA is filed under the name uncultured bacterium. RNAcentral's name for it is "partial 16S ribosomal RNA". It matches the Rfam family "Bacterial small subunit ribosomal RNA", at positions 338 to 795 of the family's 1533-position model. The record is from RNAcentral.
CCUACGGGAGGCAGCAGUGGGGAAUAUUGCACAAUGGGGGAAACCCUGAUGCAGCGACGCCGCGUGAGUGAAGAAGUAAUUCGUUAUGUAAAGCUCUAUCAGCAGGGAAGAAAAUGACGGUACCUGAGUAAGCAGCCCCGGCUAACUACGUGCCAGCCGCCGCGGUCAUACGUAGGGGGCAAGCGUUAUCCGGAUUUACUGGGUGUAAAGGGAGCGUAGACGGCAGUGCAAGUCUGGAGUGAAAGGCGGGGGCUCAACCCCCGGACUGCUCUGGAAACUGUACGGCUGGAGUGCAGGAGAGGUAAGUGGAAUUCCUAGUGUAGCGGUGAAAUGCGUAGAUAUUAGGAGGAACACCAGUGGCGAAGGCGGCUUACUGGACUGUAACUGACGUUGAGGCUCGAAAGCGUGGGGAGCAAACAGGAUUAGAUACCCGAGUAGUC